Non-coding RNA from Camellia sinensis, 1115 nucleotides. NCBI's taxonomy places the organism in Eukaryota, Viridiplantae, Streptophyta, Magnoliopsida, Ericales, Theaceae. The record is from RefSeq and is a predicted model, not a curated record.
CUAAACCACCAAUCCCAUCCUUCCCCUCCAUGUAUUACCAGAAUUUAUCAUGUUUGGCUCAAGUCAUUCAAGUUGACAGAGGCACACAUGUAUAUAUAUAUAUAUAUAUAUAUAAAGUUUGAAUAGAAGAAUAUACUUAGAGAGCAUGAUGGAAAACAGAGCUAUAAAAUUGCCACCGGGAUUCAGAUUCGAACCCACAGAUGAAGAGAUAGUGUUUCAGUACCUCACUAGUAAAAUAUUCUCCUCUCCUUUGCCUACUUCAGUUGUCCCUGAUAUCCUCACUCUUUUCCAAUUAUGAUCCUUGGGAUUUGCCUGCUGGUGAUGGUAGGGAGGAGGAUAGGUACUUGUUUACAAAGAAGGAAGGCAAGUACCAGAAGAAUGGAAAAGGAAGUAACAACAGGACUACCAGCUCUGGUUAUUGGAAAGCAACUGGCCCUGACAAAAAGAUUACAUCUCCAACAAGAAAAGAUGAUUUAAUUGGGAUGAGAAAGACACUGGUUUUCCAUACAGGGAAGCCUCCAAAUGGUUCAAGAACUCUUUGGAUCAUGCAUGAAUAUCGCCUUGUCAAUGUCAACUCAGCAGCAGCAGCAACUCAACACAAGGAUUCAACUCAAAAGACUCUGGUCCAAAUCGGAAACUGGGUUCUCUGUCGCAUAUUCUUGAAGAAACGAAGUUCAGAAAACGACGACGAUGCUAAUGAAAUUAGUGAACGCCAGGAGGCUCGCAAAGGUGGAAGAGUUGGGUUGGUUCAGCAUAGAGCCCAUGAUUUCAUGGUGAGAGACUUGGAUGAUUCAUCAGGACCCACCUCUCCAUCCUCUUCUUCUUCCACUUCAUCUUGUGGUUCCAGCCUUAUCAUUGAGGUCACUUCAAAUGGGCUUUAGUCUGUUAGAUAGAUCAUCAAGAAAACCACUCUCAGUUGGCCUGUAGUAGUUUCUUUAUUUUUAUUUUUAUCUCCUUAUAUCAUUAAUUAUCAAGGAAACCCAUGAAAGCUCUUUCUUUGUGUCUAUGCCUUCUUUGGUAAUUUAUGAAACCUCUAGAGAGGAUCUUGAGGGAUUUCUUAGUGAUGUGUAAAGAUUUUGUCAACUCUAAUUAAUUGAAUGCAUUUUUAUAAAUAA